GAUGAACGCUGGCGGCGUGCUUAACACAUGCAAGUCGAACGAUGAAGCUGGAGCUUGCUCUGGUGGAUUAGUGGCGAACGGGUGAGUAACACGUGAGCAACCUGCCCCUGACUCUGGGAUAACAGCCGGAAACGGCUGCUAAUACCGGAUAUGCACCAUGAACGCAUGUUCUGUGGUGGGAAAGAUUUUUCGGUUGGGGAUGGGCUCGCGGCCUAUCAGCUUGUUGGUGAGGUAAUGGCUCACCAAGGCGUCGACGGGUAGCCGGCCUGAGAGGGUGACCGGCCACACUGGGACUGAGACACGGCCCAGACUCCUACGGGAGGCAGAAGUGGGGAAUAUUGCACAAUGGGCGAAAGCCUGAUGCAGCAACGCCGCGUGAGGGAUGACGGCCUUCGGGUUGUAAACCUCUUUUAGCAGGGAAGAAGCGAGAGUGACGGUACCUGCAGAAAAAGCGCCGGCUAACUACGUG
This 469-nucleotide ribosomal RNA is filed under the name uncultured bacterium. RNAcentral describes it as "partial 16S ribosomal RNA". It matches the Rfam family "Bacterial small subunit ribosomal RNA", at positions 28 to 507 of the family's 1533-position model. The record is from RNAcentral.